RNAcentral lists this long non-coding RNA (1163 nucleotides) under Ficedula albicollis (Collared flycatcher). Its description in RNAcentral is "lncRNA (ENSFALG00000025533.1)". Lineage: Eukaryota; Metazoa; Chordata; Aves; Passeriformes; Muscicapidae. The record is from RNAcentral.
UCCAACACUUAAAACAAAAGAAAAGAAGCAGUUCUAAUCCAAAAUGAGCAAGAAAUACCUUGAAGUAAAUUUUAAACAUUUAAAUUUCACAGUUUCAAGGCCUGUGAACUCCCCUUCUCUCCUGCCGGCUCUCCUGACACAAAGCUGUGAUCUCUAGUAACUGUUUCUUUUAAUAAUGAAGGCAAAGAUUCCGCUGCAUCCAUUUGGUUGCAGGAAGUAGAGUCAGGAAAAAAAAAAAAAAAAAAAACCCCCCCCCCCCCCCCCCCCCCCCCCGGAAAAAAAAAAAAAAAAACCAACACAAAAGGAGUUGUGGUAAAAAAUAUAUGAGUUGGCAGUGUUGUUGUAUCUUAUUUUCCAGGCUUAAUAGAGCUGGAUUUGAAGACAAUAUCCAGGGACAAGAGCUUAAAAAUGGAACAUUUACUAACCUAAAGAUUCUUAUCUUCACACAAAAAUCCAGGCAAAGAGAAAGUUUCAACUGAUUUUCGUGAAGCAGUGUGUGCACAGGUCUUCGUAGGCUGAUGUCUUGAUAAUGAGUUGUAUUUUCCACCUGAUACACCAAAUCUUAGCCAUACAGAUGUCUCCCACUAGCAGGGAGGAAAGUAUUCCAAGAGAUUUGGAAUCACACCUGCAAGACAGAGACUGGAUCAGUAUCGGGUCCACAGUAAAGAUAACAGGUAAAAAUAACAGAAAACCUGAAGCUUUGAAAGGAAUUUUUAAGGUUAUGUUUCUGCCAGAUUUGUUGGUGCAGCCUUUUUUAUAAGUAGCAAUAUGCUGCACUUGAGAGGGGAAAAAAAGCAUGAAUGAGUCUGUUCAAACUAAAGAAAAUGUAAGAAACAUAACACUAUUGUCAGUAUCAUCAACGUACUGUGAGCAUGUACACAAGUUGCUAUUACUGAGCUUUAGGAAAGUGGUAUUUGGAACAUUUCUAAAGGCUUGGAGAAUCAAUUCAGAUAGUUAUCUGGACUGAUACAGAGAUGGAGUUGGUGGUGAGCAUUCUGAUAAACAAUUUAUCCACAAGCCCAUUCAGGAAUGCAGAACCUGUCUUACUCAUGUUUUUGCUAUUUCUUUUCCCCUUGUUCACUUCCUAUUUAGAAUUUAUUACUACUAUCAAGAAUUACUCAGAAUAGAUGAGUAAAUUUUCUGUUGGAGUAGAUAAGUGCAUU